RNAcentral lists this transfer RNA (76 nucleotides) under Lactiplantibacillus plantarum. RNAcentral's name for it is "Lactobacillus plantarum tRNA-Asn". It matches the Rfam family "tRNA". Rfam says of the family: Transfer RNA (tRNA) molecules are approximately 80 nucleotides in length. Their secondary structure includes four short double-helical elements and three loops (D, anti-codon, and T loops). Lineage: Bacteria; Bacillati; Bacillota; Bacilli; Lactobacillales; Lactobacillaceae. The record is from RNAcentral.
UUGCUCGGUAGUUCAGCGGUAGAAUAAUUGACUGUUAAUCAAGAGGUCGCUGGUUCGAUCCCAGCCCGAGCAGUCC